RNAcentral lists this ribosomal RNA (991 nucleotides) under Escherichia coli UMEA 3172-1. RNAcentral describes it as "bacterial SSU rRNA". It matches the Rfam family "Bacterial small subunit ribosomal RNA", at positions 529 to 1520 of the family's 1533-position model. Lineage: Bacteria; Pseudomonadati; Pseudomonadota; Gammaproteobacteria; Enterobacterales; Enterobacteriaceae. The record is from RNAcentral.
AGGGUGCAAGCGUUAAUCGGAAUUACUGGGCGUAAAGCGCACGCAGGCGGUUUGUUAAGUCAGAUGUGAAAUCCCCGGGCUCAACCUGGGAACUGCAUCUGAUACUGGCAAGCUUGAGUCUCGUAGAGGGGGGUAGAAUUCCAGGUGUAGCGGUGAAAUGCGUAGAGAUCUGGAGGAAUACCGGUGGCGAAGGCGGCCCCCUGGACGAAGACUGACGCUCAGGUGCGAAAGCGUGGGGAGCAAACAGGAUUAGAUACCCUGGUAGUCCACGCCGUAAACGAUGUCGACUUGGAGGUUGUGCCCUUGAGGCGUGGCUUCCGGAGCUAACGCGUUAAGUCGACCGCCUGGGGAGUACGGCCGCAAGGUUAAAACUCAAAUGAAUUGACGGGGGCCCGCACAAGCGGUGGAGCAUGUGGUUUAAUUCGAUGCAACGCGAAGAACCUUACCUGGUCUUGACAUCCACGGAAGUUUUCAGAGAUGAGAAUGUGCCUUCGGGAACCGUGAGACAGGUGCUGCAUGGCUGUCGUCAGCUCGUGUUGUGAAAUGUUGGGUUAAGUCCCGCAACGAGCGCAACCCUUAUCCUUUGUUGCCAGCGGUCCGGCCGGGAACUCAAAGGAGACUGCCAGUGAUAAACUGGAGGAAGGUGGGGAUGACGUCAAGUCAUCAUGGCCCUUACGACCAGGGCUACACACGUGCUACAAUGGCGCAUACAAAGAGAAGCGAUCUCGCGAGAGCAAGCGGACCUCAUAAAGUGCGUCGUAGUCCGGAUUGGAGUCUGCAACUCGACUCCAUGAAGUCGGAAUCGCUAGUAAUCGUGGAUCAGAAUGCCACGGUGAAUACGUUCCCGGGCCUUGUACACACCGCCCGUCACACCAUGGGAGUGGGUUGCAAAAGAAGUAGGUAGCUUAACCUUCGGGAGGGCGCUUACCACUUUGUGAUUCAUGACUGGGGUGAAGUCGUAACAAGGUAACCGUAGGGGAACCUGCGGUUG